AUACGGAGGGUGCAAGCGUUAAUCGGAAUUACUGGGCGUAAAGCGCGCGUAGGCGGUUUAGUCAGUCAGAUGUGAAAGCCCCGGGCUCGACUUGGGAACUGCAUUUGAUACUGCUGAACUAGAGUAUGGUAGAGGGAAGUGGAAUUCCGGGUGUAGCGGUGAAAUGCGUAGAUAUCCGGAGGAACACCAGUGGCGAAGGCGACUUCCUGGACCAAUACUGACGCUGAGGUGCGAAAGCGUGGGUAGCAAACAGGAUUAGAAACCCCAGUAGUCC
Molecule: ribosomal RNA, 274 nt
Filed under: uncultured bacterium
Lineage: Bacteria
Description: partial 16S ribosomal RNA
Rfam family: Bacterial small subunit ribosomal RNA
Source: RNAcentral